This 324-nucleotide unclassified non-coding RNA is filed under the name soil metagenome. RNAcentral's name for it is "partial contains 5.8S ribosomal RNA, internal transcribed spacer 2, and large subunit ribosomal RNA". The stretch from base 1 to 120 matches the Rfam family "5.8S ribosomal RNA", at positions 35 to 154 of the family's 154-position model. The record is from RNAcentral.
GAUGAAGAACGUAGCGAAAUGCGAUAAGUAAUGCGAAUUGCAGAAUUCAGUGAGUCAUCGAAUCUUUGAACGCACAUUGCGCCCUGUGGUAUUCCGCAGGGCAUGCCUGUUCGAGCGUCAUUUCAACCCUCAAGCCCCGCUUGGUGUUGGGCCCCGCCCGCUGUGGCCGGCCCUAAAGACAGUGGCGGCGCCGCCUGGCCCUCAGCGUAGUACAUCUCUCGCUCCAGGGUCCGGUGGCCGCCUGCCAGAACCCCCCAACUCUGUGGUUGACCUCGGAUCAGGUAGGACUACCCGCUGAACUUAAGCAUAUCAAUAAGCGGAGGA